RNAcentral lists this unclassified non-coding RNA (378 nucleotides) under Hevea brasiliensis (rubber tree). The record is from RNAcentral. Lineage: Eukaryota; Viridiplantae; Streptophyta; Magnoliopsida; Malpighiales; Euphorbiaceae.
CGUGGGAGGUCAUCAUCCUACUCUUCUUCUCCCAGUCCUCGCAAGGGACCCCGCAAGAUUUCAAAGAGUCGCAGUCCUAAGAGAAGGCCUUUAAGAGGGAGGAGCCCCAGCAACAGUAACAGCAGCAGUUCACCACCUCGUAAGCCCUAGGUUUGUUGCUUGCGACAUGUACGUCCUUGACGGAUGAGCUUUGUAAUCUUAAUCCUGCUGGAGAAAGGAGCCCCUUAGGACAACUUGAUUACUUCAUUUGAACGUAUGAAUGUGAAUUCUUUUAAUGAUUGUAUACUGAUGUCCAAAUUCACAUUAUUUUGGUUUAGUUGCAUUGCUGUGCCUCAGAUAUCUUCCGACGACAGUAAACAUAUUAAUUGAAAAAGUGGG